This 828-nucleotide ribosomal RNA is filed under the name Triticum aestivum (bread wheat). RNAcentral describes it as "partial small subunit ribosomal RNA". The record is from RNAcentral. Lineage: Eukaryota; Viridiplantae; Streptophyta; Magnoliopsida; Poales; Poaceae.
AUGGCGAUCGAGAUUCCCGUGCCCUUGAGCGAGGAGGAGGAGAUCAGGUCCAUGGUAAACGAAGGAAUAGUGGAUCCGCACCUGCAGGAGUUCUUCCGGACCAUGCAGUCGGAGCUGCAGGCGGCGAGGGAGUCCCCCACGCUGGCGCUGCUGGACUGGUUGGACGGCUUCGAGGAUGCCGCCGCCGCGUUCACCCGCGAGAUAGUGGAGGUCGAGGAGGACCUCAGGCACGGCGCGGCCGUGUUCGACGGGAGGGCCGGCGAGGAGGCGCUGGUGUCCGAGUUGCGUAGCCAGGCCGCGUGGUGCGGCGCGCGGUGCGCGGAGGCGGCCGCGCUGGUGGCCGACGCGCGGCGCCUACGGGACGGGUACCUGAGGACGAUGCCGAGGACGGCGGACGAGCAGGAACUCGUCGACUCGGCAGCGUCCGCUUUCCAAGAGUUCUUGGCCAGGGAGAUGGACGGCGGCGGAGUCCCCGAGGCCGACGCGGCGAGGGCCGAGGCGAUAGACGCGGCGGCCAGGGCCGGCCAGGGCGUGGGCGCGAGGUUCGCGGCGACGUUCGUGGGGCUGGCCGAGAGGCUCAGGCGGCGAGCGGAGGCGUACGCGGGCACGGGCACGGGCGAGGACCAGGCGGUCGCGGAGGCGGUGCGGCGUCACGCGGCUGCGGUGGAGGCGCUGUGCGCGGACCCGGAGGCUCUGGUGGCGCGGAUGCUGGCGUCUGGGUGGUGGAGGUUGUGGAGGUACCUCAACCGGCACGCCGGCGGAAUAACACCAACGCAAUCCUCCAUGCUCGCGACGCCGACGCCGGCGACGCAUCCACAUCUUACAUGA